RNAcentral lists this ribosomal RNA (440 nucleotides) under uncultured bacterium. RNAcentral's name for it is "partial 16S ribosomal RNA". It matches the Rfam family "Bacterial small subunit ribosomal RNA", at positions 338 to 795 of the family's 1533-position model. The record is from RNAcentral.
CCUACGGGAGGCAGCAGUGGGGAAUAUUGCACAAUGGGGGAAACCCUGAUGCAGCGACGCCGCGUGAGUGAAGAAGUAAUUCGGUAUGUAAAGCUCUAUCAGCAGGGAAGAAAAUGACGGUACCUGAGUAAGAAGCCCCGGCUAACUACGUGCCAGCAGCCGCGGUAAUACGUAGGGGGCAAGCGUUAUCCGGAUUUACUGGGGGUAAAGGGAGCGUAGACGGCAGUGCAAGUCUGGAGUGAAAGGCGGGGGCUCAACCCCCGGACUGCUCUUGAAACUGUACGGCUGGAGUGCAGGAGAGGUAAGUGGAAUUCCUAGUGUAGCGGUGAAAUGCGUAGAUAUUAGGAGGAACACCAGUGGCGAAGGCGGCUUACUGGACUGUAACUGACGUUGAGGCUCGAAAGCGUGGGGAGCAAACAGGAUUAGAUACCCCAGUAGUC